Small RNA from Streptomyces sp. H-KF8, 90 nucleotides. It matches the Rfam family "sodF sRNA". Rfam says of the family: Identified in Streptomyces coelicolor. NCBI's taxonomy places the organism in Bacteria, Bacillati, Actinomycetota, Actinomycetes, Kitasatosporales, Streptomycetaceae. The record is from Rfam.
ACGCCCUGCCCCGUGAUCGUCUUCUCACCGUUCACCCGGCAGGCGGAAAAAAGGAAGCCCCCGCGAGGACAGGACUCGCGGGGGCUUCCG